ACCGCAUACAAACUAAUAAAGAGCAAAAUGCGCUCAUAGAUAUUUAUAAACAUAAAUAUUGGAUUUUCAUUUCAAAAUUAUUUAUUUUUAAAAUUAUUUAAAUGCAAAUAUUUUUUUUCCUCCAAGACAUGCGCAUUGUUUCUUUUUCACAUAGCAUCCGGAUAUUAAAUUUCGAAUCUCGCCAAUAUUCUGAAGCCUGAACCUAAUGGUUCAGGCAAUAAUCUGAAAAUCGGGGCCGAAUAGGCAAAGGUAUGAGUUGACAUCGAUCGUUUCCUAUGACAUGCUUUCCAUUCAUUUGCUAAUCGUUUACCGAUUUUUAAUGAAUAUGUUGUCUUUUGUCAGUUUGAUUAGUAGAUGAUGAAACAAAUUAUAACAGGAUGAUCAUCAAGGUCGGUAGUUGAAACUUACAGAGAUGAGAAGUUAAAUUUCAGAAAGUGGCGGGUUCUUUG
Molecule: long non-coding RNA, 449 nt
Filed under: Mytilus galloprovincialis (Mediterranean mussel)
Lineage: Eukaryota; Metazoa; Mollusca; Bivalvia; Mytilida; Mytilidae
Source: RNAcentral